RNAcentral lists this ribosomal RNA (972 nucleotides) under human gut metagenome. Its description in RNAcentral is "bacterial LSU rRNA". It matches the Rfam family "Bacterial large subunit ribosomal RNA", at positions 1950 to 2925 of the family's 2925-position model. The record is from RNAcentral.
CCUAAGGUAGCGAAAUUCCUUGUCGGGUAAGUUCCGACCCGCACGAAAGGCGUAAUGAUUUGAGCACUGUCUCGACAAUGCAUCCGGUGAAAUUGAAGUACCAGUGAAGAUGCUGGUUACCUGCGCCAGGACGGAAAGACCCCAUGGAGCUUUACUCCAGUUUGAUACUGGGAUUCGGUACUGUCUGUACAGGAUAGGUGGGAGGCUAGGAAAUGGUGACGCCAGUUGCCAUGGAGCCAACCUUGGGAUACCACCCUUACAGUACUGGGUUUCUAACCUGCAGCCGUAACCCGGCUGGGGGACAAUGUCUGACGGGGAGUUUGACUGGGGCGGUCGCCUCCGAAAGAGUAUCGGAGGCGCUCAAAGGUUCCCUCAGAACGGUUGGAAACCGUUCGAAGAGUGCAAAGGCAGAAGGGAGCUUGACUGCGACACCGACGGGUGGAGCAGGUACGAAAGUAGGACUUAGUGAUCCGGUGGUAUAAAGUGGGAUUGCCAUCGCUCAACGGAUAAAAGCUACCCUGGGGAUAACAGGCUUAUCACUCCCAAGAGUUCACAUCGACGGAGUGGUUUGGCACCUCGAUGUCGGCUCAUCGCAUCCUGGAGCUGUAGCAGGUUCCAAGGGUUGGGCUGUUCGCCCAUUAAAGCGGUACGCGAGCUGGGUUCAGAACGUCGUGAGACAGUUCGGUCCCUAUCCGGCGUGGGCGUAGGAUAUUUGAGAGGAGCUGUCCUUAGUACGAGAGGACCGGGAUGGACAAACCUCUGGUGUAUCUGUUGUUUUACCAAAGGCAUGGCAGAGUAGCCAAGUUUGGCAGGGAUAAACGCUGAAGGCAUCUAAGCGUGAAGCCCCCCUCAAGAUAAGAUAUCCCAUCUUCGGAGUAAGACCCCUUGAAGACUACAAGGUUGAUAGGCUUCAGGUGUAAGUGUGGUAACGCACUCAGCUGAGAAGUACUAAUAGGUCGAGGACUUAUCCUU